This 608-nucleotide ribosomal RNA is filed under the name uncultured bacterium. Its description in RNAcentral is "bacterial SSU rRNA". It matches the Rfam family "Bacterial small subunit ribosomal RNA", at positions 110 to 753 of the family's 1533-position model. The record is from RNAcentral.
GGAACGCGUGGGAACGUACCCCAAAGUUCGGAAUAACUAUUGGAAACGAUAGCUAAUACCGGAUGUGACCGAGAGGUUAAAGGUUUACCGCUUUGGGAGCGGCCCGCGUUAGAUUAGCUAGUUGGUGGGGUAAAGGCCUACCAAGGCAAUGAUCUAUAGCUGGUCUGAGAGGAUGACCAGCCACACUGGGACUGAGACACGGCCCAGACUCCUACGGGAGGCAGCAGUGGGGAAUAUUGGACAAUGGGGGCAACCCUGAUCCAGCAAUGCCGCGUGAAUGAUGAAGGCCUUAGGGUUGUAAAGUUCUUUUAUUGAUGACGGUAAUGACGGUAAUCAAUGAAUAAGCACCGGCUAACUUCGUGCCAGCAGCCGCGGUAAUACGAAGGGUGCUAGCGUUGUUCGGAAUGACUGGGCGUAAAGGGUGCGUAGGCGGCCAGAAGCGUCUGAUGUGAAAUCCCUAGGCUUAACCUAGGAACUGCAUUGGAUACGGUCUGGCUAGAGUCCGCGAGAGGAAGAUGGAAUUGUGCGUGUAGAGGUGAAAUUCGUAGAUAUGCACAAGAACACCGGUGGCGAAGGCGAUCUUCUGGAGCGGUACUGACGCUAAGGCA